UACGUAGGGCGCAAGCGUUGUCCGGAAUUAUUGGGCGUAAAGAGCUCGUAGGCGGCUUGUCACGUCGGGUGUGAAAGCCCGGGGCUUAACCCCGGGUCUGCAUUCGAUACGGGCUAGCUAGAGUGUGGUAGGGGAGAUCGGAAUUCCUGGUGUAGCGGUGAAAUGCGCAGAUAUCAGGAGGAACACCGGUGGCGAAGGCGGUUCUCUGGGCCUUACCUGACACUGAGGAGCGAAAGCGUGGGGAGCGAACAGG
RNAcentral lists this ribosomal RNA (253 nucleotides) under uncultured bacterium. RNAcentral's name for it is "partial 16S ribosomal RNA". It matches the Rfam family "Bacterial small subunit ribosomal RNA", at positions 524 to 776 of the family's 1533-position model. The record is from RNAcentral.